CUGUAUGCAGAUGUUCAAAAGCUGGCCUUUUCAUGGAACAUGAGUGAUUCUUCAGGGUGCCCAAAGGAAGAGCCACAAACCACAUCCCAUGGCAUAUCCCCUGACAGCAAGAUCUGGCUCAGGGCCAUCAGAAGGGCGAGAUGAACAGGAAAAGGGAAUUGAAUGCAGUGAAAUUCUAUUCUUCUAUUAAGAGACUGGAGUCCCCUUUAUUCCUUCAUGUGUGCUAGGUGUAAGGAGUUGGUGUGUCAGCUGACAACCGUUCAUGGAAACCUCACCAAGAAAUGUCUGAUUUUCUAUAGAAUUUAAAGCCCCAGACUGAUCUAUUUUAGUUUCCAGCACAUGAACUUACUAUGUUUGGCCUCAGGAUGAGAUGCAGCACACUGACAUGCUCAAUAUCUGCUGAACAGAUGGACGGAGAUAUAAAACCAAAACCUGGACACUUCACCUGCAAGGAGACCUUCAGCCUUCAAGCCAUGGCUCAUGAUCCCAAGAAGCAUCUGAAGCAUGUAGCCGAUUCGAAGCAUUGGAAGCUGGAUAAACUGGCCAGUGUGUUUGCCCUCAUUCAUCUACUAACCUCCCUAAGCUGAGAGAAUGUCUCCCUCUCAUCUUUUUCUGAGGAACAGACUUAAGUAUGUCCUAACAGGAGGUGAAGUAAAGAUCUGUAUGCACCAUUUUAUUAAUAUUGAUGGCAAAGUCUGAACUGAUAUAACCUACCCUGCUGGUUUUAUGGAUGUCGUCAGCAUUGACAAGACUGGGGAGAAUUUCCAACUGAUCUAUGAUACCAACGGUUGCUUUGCUCCUCAUCAGAUUACACCUGAGGAAGUUAAGUAUAAACUGUGCAAAGUGAGAAAGAUCUUUGUGGGAACAAAAGAAAUUCCCCAUAUGGUGACCAUGAUGCUCACACUGUCGGCUAUCCUGAGCCCCUCAUUAAAGUGAAUGACACCAUUCAGAUUGAUUUGGAAACUGGAAAGAUUACUGACUUCAUCAAGUUUGACACCGGUAAUCUGUGCAUGGUGACCAGAGGUGCUUACCUGGGAAGAAUUGGUGCGAUCACCAAUUGAGAGAGACACCCUUGUUCUUUUGAUGUAGUUCAUAUGAAAGAUGCCAAUGACAACAAUGACCUUUGCCACCUGGCUCUCUCUCUGGUAUUGGCAAAGGCGACAAACCAUGGAUUUCUCUUCCCUGUGGAAAGGGUAUCCACCUCACCAUUGCUGAAGAGAGAGAUGAGAGACUGGUGGCCAAACAGAGCAGUGGGUAAAAUAGUCUUUAGGUGAUGUGUUUGGAAAUCUUUAGUUAAAGAUAAUAUAGCGUGAUAACAACAACAAAAAAGAAACUGCCAGCCUAUUUUCCCAAGUGGCUUUUAUUAUUUCACAUUUCCACAACAUAUGAGAGUUCUGGAGGCUCUACAUCCUUGCCAACAUAUGGUAUUAUCCAUCUUUUUAAUUUUAGCCAUUCCAUUGGGCAUAUAUAGGAAUUCAUCAUGUAUUCCAUUGUUUCUCUCUUAUUCAUGUUGAGAUCCCAAUGGCAGUUUCAUUUUCAUCUCUUUGUAGCUAAUCUAUCCUUUCCUAUGAUAGUUUUUAAGAUUACCUUUUCCUUUUAUGUUCUGAGGUUUCACUGCAAUAUGUCUGGAUUUGUUUGUUUCCCUUUAUGCUGCCUUUUCAGUUUGAGUAUUUAAUUUUGGAAAACUCAAUUUGGAGUAAUUCAUAAUUAUGGCUGUAUGUUCACUGUUGGGGGGAAUUUUUAUGAGUUGGAGCUUAAGGUGUACUGGUUGGUAUCGGUUUUUUUUCUAUGUGGGUAGUUUCUUACUGGAUUCUGACAGGGUUAUGUGAGAUUUCUAUAUAAAUUUCUUGGCACAGAGUUGAUACACUGUGAGGGCACCUGGGAAAAUUCUACCUCAAAUAUGUGGAAUGCUUUGUCUAGAGGUUCUGAUUUCUGAAGGUCAACUGUUUCUACCCAUUUUCUGGGCAAGCUGAGAAAUAGGGCUGGUAGGUCCUAAUUUUCCAAGCUCUUGACUUCACCAAAAAUCCAGUGCCAGUUUCCCCACUAUGAAAGGAGCCCGUGUUCUUGGCUUAUACCAUCACGCAAAUACUAAAACUCCAGCCUGUAGGGUGUGUUUCUUUUCAGGUUAUAAGCCUCCCCCGCCCCCGUUAGAUUCCCUCUAACGUUAGUGGUUUCCUCCCUAUUUUUGACAUCUGAAAUUUCCCCCAUUUUGCUCUUGAGCUUGGCAAUCUAUUAAUUAUGUUUAAAAACAUUUUUUCCCCUGUCAUUUCUAUGUUUUGUGUGGAAAGGCAGUACUCAUUACCCCUUAGCUCAAUCUGCCAUAUUGAUUGUAAGUUUCUCCUUACUCUUUAAACACAUUGUAAUUUGGCUUCUUCCCCAGUACUCUAUUGAAAAUGUAUCUACCAAGGUCUCAAAUCACCAAUGAAUCACUAGAUUCAGUGGACAUUUUCCAGUGUUCACAGCAUAAUGCUAUUAUGAUGGUGUCUUCAUUUCUCCUGCUUCAAGACUUUCUCCCUCUGGGCUUCUAUAAAACUGCUUCUCGCAGUUGUCCCUGCUUCCAAACUGUUCCUUCUCAGCCUCCUCUGAAGGCUAUAAAUUGGUGAUUUCCAAUCUCUGGCUCUACCCAGAUGUGUCUGUUGGGUUUUAACCUGUGUGUAUCUCCCUGGCUACUCAAUAUUUCUUUGCAAUGUCCCACAACAUUUCGACUUUUUCAAAAUGGAAUAAAAAUAUCCCUAAAUCUAUUUUAAGAUAUGAAGAAGAGUAGAUAGAGUGUUAUUUCUCUUGAUCGUGGUCUUCAAAGGAGAAAGGUUACCUGAAUGUAGAAGAGUAGUGGUUUGGAUAUGGUAGUGAAGAAUUAGAUGAAUUCUCACCACAGCCUCUGGCUUUUAGGUACAGAGGCCAUAGCAGAUGAAUAUCCUCCAAAGGAGGGGGAUCUGUGGAAUUUUGAGACUUUGAAGAAAGCCAAGUCUCAGUUAAGAGGAGCUGGAAAAAUCUUCAGGGUUGAGAUGAAGCUGAGUUGUAAUUUAUUGACAAAGCGAGAUUUAGAAUGUACAUCUGAGAGAGUAAAGUAGGUAAAAGGAGAGAAAUUAUAAAGAAGCAAAAACUCACAGAGCAUUUAUUGAGCUUCUCGAGGGCAAGUACCAAUCAUCAGCAUCUUUCCAUCCUUAGAAUCUAUCCCAGUGUCUGGUAUAUGCUAGUCUCUGAGCAAAUGUUUGUUAUGAUAAAACGAGACUGUUGUAAAUGGCUUUUAAUUAUUUUCCACGAGAGGGAGUAACAGAUCCUGUUCUCUGAUGGUAAGAGGAAAUGAGAAAGAAGGAUAUUAACUUUGGGCAUUUAGAAGGACAUAACCCAAUUCUACAACAUUUAUAAAUGCCUGUUGAGUUAACCACAGUUGAAUGCAACACCCACAUCUGUGCAUGCUUCCCACCCCCCAGUCGCAUAGAUUCUAAUUGCGGCAGAUUUUUC
Molecule: long non-coding RNA, 3465 nt
Filed under: Canis lupus familiaris (dog)
Lineage: Eukaryota; Metazoa; Chordata; Mammalia; Carnivora; Canidae
Description: lncRNA (ENSCAFG00845003236.1)
Source: RNAcentral